Rosa rugosa (rugosa rose) is the source of this 885-nucleotide long non-coding RNA. RefSeq lists it as uncharacterized. NCBI's taxonomy places the organism in Eukaryota, Viridiplantae, Streptophyta, Magnoliopsida, Rosales, Rosaceae. The record is from RefSeq and is a predicted model, not a curated record. The transcript has 2 exons.
AGAGGGAGAGAACCAGAGUUCUCUGACCGAGGCGAACGCGACCCGCGACUGGGUCCGAUUGGAAAUCGCUUCUCCGGUCACCUCUCCGCGGCGGACCACCGGCAACAGCUUCGUCUCGGUGGGGCCUACGUCCCUGUGGUCUCAGAUUGUACAUGCAGCGACUGUGAAGGGAGAAUCGACGGUGAGAGUGUCUGACUGUUCCGGCGAAUUCAAGCGAUUUCCGGCCACCUUCUGGGCCGCAUUCGCUCGGGUUCGACACUGCUGCUUACGCCGGCGACAUUCCUGACGGUUCUCAGUUCGUUUCUGUUUGGUUUCUGGUACGAUUGCUUCUGUAGACGAGGUCUAACCCUGUUUGGAAGUCCAGUUUUCAAGAUUCCUGGGUGAAACGUCAAAGCUUUGGUAUCAGUUCGUCCUCGGGUUUCCAGAAAGCUGAUGCGAGGGAGUUGGAACCCAGACUGCAAAUCGGACUUGUUGAAGGUAAACUCGGAAGUUCUGCUCAAAUCGUUAUCCCUGAAAGCUAAGGGACUAAGUUGGUUAUGCGAUGUUGACUGCAUGAACAGAAUGGGUGUUUGUGUCUUGGUUUGGGUAGAUGAAGUUGUAUGGUUUGGUGAUUUGGGAUUAAUUGUUUCUGGUUUUGCAAGUUAAAGUCUUGUUAGUAUGGGUAAGGCAGGUUAUUCGAAAUGAUUGUGAAAAGUUUGAGAAAUGGGUAAGUUAGGAUCUUGGGUGUCCUUAGUGUUUUGAGUACACCAUAUUUGAGAUUAAAAUUGUGAACUGGGUGUCCAUAGUAAAUUCCAUCGAAUUACUAUGCGACAAAAUGUGAAUUGGAAGUAAAAGACCAAGUGUCGGAUGAAUUGAGAUAAAUCGUUGAAGAAAUCGGAAACAUGA